RNAcentral lists this ribosomal RNA (326 nucleotides) under uncultured eukaryote. RNAcentral describes it as "partial 18S ribosomal RNA". It matches the Rfam family "Eukaryotic small subunit ribosomal RNA", at positions 1470 to 1796 of the family's 1831-position model. The record is from RNAcentral.
CCCUUAGAUGUUCUGGGCUGCACGCGCGCUACACUGAUGCAAUCAACGAGUUUACGACCUUGCCCGAUAGGGUUGGGUAAUCUUUUUAAAAUGCAUCGUGAUGGGGAUAGAUUAUUGCAAUUAUUAAUCUUCAACGAGGAAUUCCUAGUAAGCGCGAGUCAUCAGCUCGUGCUGAUUACGUCCCUGCCCUUUGUACACACCGCCCGUCGCUCCUACCGAUUGAGUGCUCAGGUGAAUAAUUCGGACUGCAGCAAUGUUUGGAUCCCGAACGUUGCAGCGGAAAGUUUAGUGAACCUUAUCACUUAGAGGAAGGAGAAGUCGUAACA